This 96-nucleotide transfer RNA is filed under the name Burkholderia pseudomallei. Its description in RNAcentral is "tRNA-Arg(gcg)". The record is from RNAcentral. Lineage: Bacteria; Pseudomonadati; Pseudomonadota; Betaproteobacteria; Burkholderiales; Burkholderiaceae.
AUCCGCGGCUCGUCGACUGGGUGCGCCGGCGCGCGGCGCACGCGCGGCGCAUCGCGUCGGUGUGCUCGGGCGCGUUCGUGCUCGCGGCGGCGGGGC